GUAACUGGAGGCUCUGAGUGGCCAAGAGACAGCAGAGAAGAGCGAGAGGGACUUAUAUUCCACCAAGAAUCCUGCAAAAAGUGGAGCAUGCUUUUAGGAUAGACUGAAGAGCUAAAACAAAUGCAUCAAAGAAGACACUCUAAAAAUCUAUGAGAUGACAUCAUGUGUUCUGGCAAAAUCGUGGUUAAAUACAGAUAGGAGAAUGCAACCUGCAGCAGGAUCUUGCAACAUUAGACUUUCCUCCGCACACUGCAAUCGUGGCAGGGGCACCCUCUGUGGGAGGCCUGGUCUCAAGCUUGUGCUGCACCUGCUGGAAGGCUCCAUUGGAACACCCGUCUGCUGCUGCACCCCCUCCCUCACUGCUUCCCACUGGGAAACUGGGCUGAUAUUAAUUCAGAAAGAGAGUGGAUUACUUCAGAGGUUUCACUAGACUUUCCUCACUUUA
Molecule: long non-coding RNA, 445 nt
Filed under: Homo sapiens (human)
Lineage: Eukaryota; Metazoa; Chordata; Mammalia; Primates; Hominidae
Description: HSALNT0304550
Source: RNAcentral